RNAcentral lists this ribosomal RNA (253 nucleotides) under uncultured bacterium. RNAcentral describes it as "partial 16S ribosomal RNA". It matches the Rfam family "Bacterial small subunit ribosomal RNA", at positions 524 to 776 of the family's 1533-position model. The record is from RNAcentral.
UACAGAGGUCUCAAGCGUUGUUCGGAUUCAUUGGGCGUAAAGGGUGCGUAGGUGGCGCUGUAAGUCGGGUGUGAAAUUUCGGAGCUUAACUCCGAAACUGCAUUCGAUACUGCGGUGCUUGAGGACUGGAGAGGAGACUGGAAUUCAUGGUGUAGCAGCGAAAUGCGCAGAUAUCAGGAAGAACACCCGUGGCUAAGGCGGCUCUCUAGUACGGUACUGACGCUGAGACGCGAAAGCGUGGGGAGCGAACAGG